RNAcentral lists this long non-coding RNA (304 nucleotides) under Felis catus (domestic cat). RNAcentral describes it as "lncRNA (ENSFCAG00000047211.1)". Lineage: Eukaryota; Metazoa; Chordata; Mammalia; Carnivora; Felidae. The record is from RNAcentral.
AUGUCUCACUUGUCCCUAAUUCGUACAUUUCUCCUAACAAACAGUUCCACGGAAGUUAUGGCCGGCGAGUUUAAACACAGGAAAAGCAAAACUUUAUUAAGCUCCAGGCCCUGCUUCUCCCGGGAUCAAGUCGUGGGAAGAGGCUGUGGCCCCGUGCGCGUUCCGUUGGGCGGUCCUGGCCACUGUUGCAUCAGUGAGAAUAGUCUUGUUGUGCCCUGCAUUGCAGCAGCUGAAUCAAGGUAGGAGGUAUAGUUUUUCUUUUCACCCAUAGCAGGAAGGGUUGAGGCUAGAGAGUUAUCUGAAU